CUCUUCCUCUUCCUCACUGAUCUCCUCCCACUGAUCCAUCAUCACAGCGCGAGAUCCUGGUAGACUCCCUGUAUCUGCAAGAAGCCCUGAGGAGAGAGCUGCCCAAAUGAUGAAUGGAGACAGAGAGCGGUUUGUGGUUUUGCAGCAUUGCCACACUCAGGCAGAGUUCUUGCUGUGUGGGCAUCAGAAGUCAAGCCCUUUCCUGUUGGAGGGCUUUGCCUUGUUUGCCGCGGAAGACGACUGAGUUUUGUUUUUUGCACGGCGGGACGACGGGGAGACAGAUGUGAUGACUG
Molecule: long non-coding RNA, 293 nt
Organism: Sander lucioperca (pikeperch)
Lineage: Eukaryota; Metazoa; Chordata; Actinopteri; Perciformes; Percidae
Exons: 3
Source: RefSeq, a predicted model, not a curated record